This 253-nucleotide ribosomal RNA is filed under the name uncultured bacterium. RNAcentral's name for it is "partial 16S ribosomal RNA". It matches the Rfam family "Bacterial small subunit ribosomal RNA", at positions 524 to 776 of the family's 1533-position model. The record is from RNAcentral.
UACGUAGGGGGCGAGCGUUGUCCGGAGUUACUGGGCGUAAAGGGCGCGCAGGCGGUCUGGCAAGUUUGGAGUGACAGUGCUCGGCUUAACUGAGCAAGGCCUUCGAAAACUGCUAGGCUUGAGCACUCAAGAGGGACAUAGAAUUCCGGGUGGAGUGGUGAAAUGCGUAGAUAUCCGGAGGAAUACCAAAGGCGAAGGCAGUGUCCUGGGGAGUGUCUGACGCUCAGGCGCGAAAGCUAGGGGAGCGAACAGG